Molecule: transfer RNA, 70 nt
Filed under: Dipodomys ordii (Ord's kangaroo rat)
Lineage: Eukaryota; Metazoa; Chordata; Mammalia; Rodentia; Heteromyidae
Rfam family: tRNA
About the family: Transfer RNA (tRNA) molecules are approximately 80 nucleotides in length. Their secondary structure includes four short double-helical elements and three loops (D, anti-codon, and T loops). Further hydrogen bonds mediate the characteristic L-shaped molecular structure. tRNAs have two regions of fundamental functional importance: the anti-codon, which is responsible for specific mRNA codon recognition, and the 3' end, to which the tRNAs corresponding amino acid is attached (by aminoacyl-tRNA synthetases). tRNAs cope with the degeneracy of the genetic code in two manners: having more than one tRNA (with a specific anti-codon) for a particular amino acid; and 'wobble' base-pairing, i.e. permitting non-standard base-pairing at the 3rd anti-codon position.
Source: Rfam by way of RNAcentral
GGGAAUGUGGCUUAAUGGUAGAGUGCUUGCUUAGCAUGCAUGAGGCCUUGGGUUCGAUUCCUCAGUACCA